AAAAAAGGUAGGAGAGAGGUCAGAGCAAAGAUCAAAUUACAAGAUUGUUUACAAUAAUAGAGCAUUAGCAAAUAAUAAGUCAGGUCAAUCAGAUCUAUCCAUAUCUAAAAGGCAAAAGGUUAGGCCACUCCCUACCAGUUAGGUCUUACAAAAAAAAAAUGUUAAGCCAAACAUACCCAAUUUCCACUCCCCCACCCGAAAAAAAAAAAAUUACAUAAAACAAAGAAGAAAGUAACCACAUAGAUCAAACGAAACCACUAAAAUA
This is a long non-coding RNA of Rosa chinensis, 265 nucleotides long. RefSeq lists it as uncharacterized. NCBI's taxonomy places the organism in Eukaryota, Viridiplantae, Streptophyta, Magnoliopsida, Rosales, Rosaceae. The transcript has 2 exons. The record is from RefSeq and is a predicted model, not a curated record.